RNAcentral lists this ribosomal RNA (468 nucleotides) under uncultured bacterium. Its description in RNAcentral is "partial 16S ribosomal RNA". It matches the Rfam family "Bacterial small subunit ribosomal RNA", at positions 29 to 507 of the family's 1533-position model. The record is from RNAcentral.
ACGAACGCUGGCGGCGUGCUUAACACAUGCAAGUCGAACGGUGAAGCGAGUGCUUGCACUCGUGGAUCAGUGGCGAACGGGUGAGUAACACGUGAGUAACCUGCCCAUCACUCUGGGAUAAGCACUGGAAACGGUGUCUAAUACUGGAUACGACCAACCCUUGCAUGGGGUGUUGGUGGAAAGAUUUAUCGGUGAUGGAUGGACUCGCGGCCUAUCAGCUUGUUGGCGGGGUAAUGGCCCACCAAGGCGACGACGGGUAGCCGGCCUGAGAGGGUGACCGGCCACACUGGGACUGAGAGACGGCCCAGACUCCUACGGGAGGCAGCAGUGGGGAAUAUUGCACAAUGGGCGAAAGCCUGAUGCAGCGACGCCGCGUGAGGGAUGACGGCCUUCGGGUUGUAAACCUCUUUCAGCAGGGAAGAAGCGAAAGUGACGGUACCUGCAGAAGAAGCACCGGCUAACUACGUG